Molecule: ribosomal RNA, 462 nt
Filed under: uncultured ammonia-oxidizing beta proteobacterium
Lineage: Bacteria; Pseudomonadati; Pseudomonadota; Betaproteobacteria
Description: bacterial SSU rRNA
Rfam family: Bacterial small subunit ribosomal RNA
Source: RNAcentral
AAGUAGGGGAUCGUAAGACCUUGCGCUUUUGGAGCGGCCGAUGCCUGAUUAGCUAGUUGGUGGGGUAAGGGCCUACCAAGGCGACGAUCAGUAGUUGGUCUGAGAGGACGACCAGCCACACUGGGACUGAGACACGGCCCAGACUCCUACGGGAGGCAGCAGUGGGGAAUUUUGGACAAUGGGCGGAAGCCUGAUCCAGCAAUGCCGCGUGAGUGAAGAAGGCCUUCGGGUUGUAAAGCUCUUUCAGUCGAGAAGAAAAGGUUGCGACUAAUAAUCGCAACUUAUGACGGUAUCGACAGAAGAAGCACCGGCUAACUACGUGCCAGCAGCCGCGGUAAUACGUAGGGUGCGAGCGUUAAUCGGAAUUACUGGGCGUAAAGGGUGCGCAGGCGGCUCUGUAAGUCAGAUGUGAAAUCCCCGGGCUUAACCUGGGAAUUGCGUUUGAAACUACAAGGCUAGAGU